AAUGACAUACAUUAAUUCCAUAUAUUUCAUAUCAAACUUGCAACCCUAAAUAUUUUUAAUUUGACUGAUCAUGUCUUUAUUACUUUCAAUUGAGCAUUUGAUCAACAUACAAAUAAUGCAAAUGUAUCUGUGAAGAGUAAUUUUGAUGUAUAUGAACGUAGCACACUCAUAAAGUUGAACUGUUUGACAUCAUAAGAUGAACAUGGCCAAAACAUCCAUGCCAUUAUUUUAGAAUUUAUUUUAGUUUGUAUAAUGACUUAACAAGUCUGUAGACUUUUCUUGUUAUGGGACAACAAACCUUUUAGAUUUUUUCAUAUAAAUCUCCACUGCUCAAUUACCAUAUAGAAAGGAAGUUUUAAAAUCUAUUUGAUUGACUUUUAGAUCUUGUAGUGCUACCCAUCAACAUUAUGAUUACAUUUAUUUUUGUUACCGGAGAGUAGGUUUGAUAUCACUUAAAUUAUCCUAAAAAGUGAUUUUACUCUCUCAAAUAAAAAGUUCAAUUGUAGUACUUAGGGAUCGAAUUCACGUAGACUCUAGGAUUACACAAUAAAUUUGUAGUUUUCAAAUUAAAACUAGAUGGUUAUGAUUAAAGCAGUAAAUAAAACUAAGGGUUUGGUGAACAAGAUAAUUGUUCAGGUGAUUGGUUUGAAAAUCAACUUACACCCUAAGGCUUUUAAUAUCAUGUACGAUUUUUUGAUAAUAUAGUUUGUUUUGCUAUUACCGCUUCUAUCGACGAAUGUGCGCCUGGUGUAAAUAUUGCCCCAAUGAAAUUUCUUGAUUCAUUUUUAAGAAGAAAAAAUACCAAGAAAUUGUCACCAUAACUCAUUUUAUAUAACUAGAUUCAUGUUUAUAUAAUUUUAUAUCAUCAAAUGAUGUGCCGUAAGUAUUUUUCUCUUUCGUUUGAGGUGACUGCAUCUAUUUCUUCACGAGUUCAUUUUGGAUUUAUCUUCUUUUUUUUUCUGAAAAUGUGACCACAAAGAUGCAUUUCUUGUUUCAUGAUUUAUUAAUAUGGAUAUACAAAAUCACAAACCAAUAAGAACCACUAUUGUAUAUAUAUCCACUAGUAAAAAUCUUCCGCAUAGCCACGGUAGUACCAGUGUAAAAUUGUGGUUUAUUUGAAAAAAUCAUUGUUUAGCCACGGUUAGCCACAAUUUUUUUAAAAGCCACGAUUAUUCUUUUAUAGCCACGAUUCAGUCACUAAAUAAUCAUGGUUAUUUUAGUAGCCACGAUUUAGCUACGAAAUAACAGUGGCUAAUCGUUAGCCACGACUCAGCCACUUUAUUUUUGUGGCUAUUUAGUUUUUCUAUACCCUAAACCCUAAACUUCAAAAUUAAAUUAUAUAUCCUAUAUACUAAAACCAAAAUACAAAUAUAACAUCUUUUCAAACUUUAAAUAUAAAUGUUAAAUUUAAAUUCUAAAUAUAAAUUUCUUUAAAAUCCAUUAUAAAUCUUAAACCUAAACCCUUAACUUAAACUUUACAUACAAAAACCAUAAAUCUAAUGUUUUCAAACCACAAACCUUAUAUCAUACAUUAAAUCACAAAUAUUUAAAUCUAAUUAAACCCAAAAUUUAUAUAUUUCAAACUCUAAAAACAUUUAUACUUUCAAUUAUUUAAUCUUAACAUUUACAUUUAAUCCUUAAUAAGUAUACUCAAAUCCUAUUUCUCAAACUAUAAACUCUAUAUUGUAAACAUAUAUCAUUAAACCAUGAAGCAUUAUAUCUUAAAUUCAAAAUAUUGAAAUUUAAAUUGAAAAUCUUAUCAAUUUUCUUUAGGUUAUGCACUAUAAUCAUAAGCUAACAACUAAAUAAUAAAAAGAAAAGAAAUACUGAAAUCUAAUGCUAAUUCCUAAACUAACUUCUCAUUGGUCAAAAGAAGAAAGGAACGGAUUACCCCCUGUUAGAUCACAACCAUUCAUAAAGAUCCAUCGAACGGCCACAACUACACACGCUUUUUAUUUUUAUUUUUAAUUUAUUUUCUUCUUCCUUCUCUUCUCUCGUCUCUGAUUUUUUUCUAGAUCUAAGUUUCGUUUUCACACAGAUCUCUCUACCGCUCACACAUCUCUCCAUCUCUGCUCACAGAAGAAACAUCAAUGCCUCUACUCACAUAUCUAUGUUUGUCUCUUAUCAGUUGUGUAUGUAUUUGAUUUUGUUUUGAUAGAUGACAGAGACGGAGGUGGACUGCGACGGUAACGAAGAUGGAGAGACAUAGAUGGCUGAGGAAGAAGACGCGACGGCAGGAAGAAGCGGAGAUUUUUAAACUAGGAAGAAGAAGAAGGAGAAAAGACAAAGGAAGAAGAAGAAAAGCCAAGAUGAAGCUUCGCUGGCUCCUUCCAGAGCCAAUAUUGAAGAAGAUGAAGGUGGUGCGGUGGUGCGUGUAUCACCGGCGACACGGGGGUGGGCUAUCACCGGAGGAAUGUUGCGCGUGGUUCAUGGCCUGGUGCGCGUGGUGCUGUGCGAGGAUAUACAUAUAUAAUAAACAUGUAAUUUAUAAGAUUUUAUAUUUUAUUAAUAAAUUAUUUUAUUUUUUA
Molecule: long non-coding RNA, 2528 nt
Organism: Brassica napus (rape)
Lineage: Eukaryota; Viridiplantae; Streptophyta; Magnoliopsida; Brassicales; Brassicaceae
Exons: 2
Source: RefSeq, a predicted model, not a curated record